UACCUUAUCAUUUGUGCAGAGAAUCCUGAAAGCAACCUCUUGUAAUGGCAUUUUUGAAUCACUGCUGGAAAACUUGUCAGCAUCUAGUGGCACAGAAUGACAUCCAGAGGCACCUGAGAAAGAGCUUGUGGUUAUUGGCUGUGACAUUGAACUUCUUUGUGCAGGUAGAUCAACUGGCUCAGGGGGCAAAGUCUUCUCUGAAUCUAACUCAAUUGGUGCAUUUUCAACCGUUCGAGUCCUUUCAACAGAGAAACAAUCUUGAAGACGGCGACUGACAGCAACAAGCGCUUUCUUGACAGCCAGAAUAUCCCCUUCUAUCUCGACAAUUUCAUCAUUGGGCGAAGCACAACUUGGCAUCUUCCCUGAAGUUAAUACCUUAAUCCUACAUCCAUUUUCUCUUCUUAUUGUAUCUAUUACUUUUCCACCUUUGCCCAUCAAAGCCCCCACUUGAUUCCCCUUUACUAAUAACCUACAGGACACAACAUUCUCCACACCCAAAACUAGUCCAUUAUUUUCCGCUGUUACUUCUAUAACUCUCUCAAAAACCCUAACAAGUGCUUCUUGUGCAGCCGAAACCUCUAUUUCAUCAAUUUCUUCAUUACGCUGGUUAUCCCCAAUGGGGCCCAGUAGCCUUAUCCUCUUGUUUACUGAAGCAGGGGCUACUACUACAAUGAGUCGAUUGUGGUCGUUUGGUGCGGACACAUCAAUGUGAAUCUUAGCGGAGGUGUCUUGUUGUAG
RNAcentral lists this unclassified non-coding RNA (738 nucleotides) under Hevea brasiliensis (rubber tree). The record is from RNAcentral. Lineage: Eukaryota; Viridiplantae; Streptophyta; Magnoliopsida; Malpighiales; Euphorbiaceae.